Molecule: ribosomal RNA, 494 nt
Filed under: uncultured Lactobacillus sp.
Lineage: Bacteria; Bacillati; Bacillota; Bacilli; Lactobacillales; Lactobacillaceae
Description: partial 16S ribosomal RNA
Source: RNAcentral
CACGUAGUUAGCCGUGACUUUCUGGUUAGAUACCGUCGCGACGUGAGCAGUUACUCUCACGCCCGUUCUUCUCUAACAACAGAGUUUUACGAGCCGAAACCCUUCUUCACUCACGCGGCAUUGCUCCAUCAGACUUUCGUCCAUUGUGGAAGAUUCCCUACUGCUGCCUCCCGUAGGAGUCUGGGCCGUGUCUCAGUCCCAAUGUGGCCGAUUACCCUCUCAGGUCGGCUACGCAUCAUUGCCUUGGUGAGCCUUUAUCUCACCAACUAGCUAAUGCGCCGCGGAUCCAUCCAAAAGCGAUAGCACAAAGGCCAUCUUUCAAACGAAAACCAUGUGGUUUUCGUUGUUAUACGGUAUUAGCAUCUGUUUCCAGGUGUUAUCCCCUUCUUCUGGGCAGGUUAUCCACGUGUUACUCACCAGUUCGCCACUCGCUGCUAACUUAAGUCAAGCUAAUGCAAGCAUCAACUAUCAUUAGGCGCAACUCGUUCGACUUG